Small nuclear RNA from Monodelphis domestica (gray short-tailed opossum), 102 nucleotides. NCBI's taxonomy places the organism in Eukaryota, Metazoa, Chordata, Mammalia, Didelphimorphia, Didelphidae. The record is from Ensembl.
ACACUUAAGCAGCAUAGAUACUAAAACUGGAAUGACAGAGAAAAGAUGAGCAUGGCCUUUGUGCAAAGAUGACAUGCAAUUUUUGAAGUGUUCUAUAUUAAA